RNAcentral lists this transfer RNA (110 nucleotides) under Candidatus Hermodarchaeota archaeon. RNAcentral describes it as "tRNA-Arg". It matches the Rfam family "tRNA". Rfam says of the family: Transfer RNA (tRNA) molecules are approximately 80 nucleotides in length. Their secondary structure includes four short double-helical elements and three loops (D, anti-codon, and T loops). Further hydrogen bonds mediate the characteristic L-shaped molecular structure. tRNAs have two regions of fundamental functional importance: the anti-codon, which is responsible for specific mRNA codon recognition, and the 3' end, to which the tRNAs corresponding amino acid is attached (by aminoacyl-tRNA synthetases). tRNAs cope with the degeneracy of the genetic code in two manners: having more than one tRNA (with a specific anti-codon) for a particular amino acid; and 'wobble' base-pairing, i.e. permitting non-standard base-pairing at the 3rd anti-codon position. The record is from RNAcentral. Lineage: Archaea; Promethearchaeati; Candidatus Hermodarchaeota.
GGGCCCGUGGCCUAGGCUGGAUAGAAUGAUGAUCCCUUCUGAGAUCACAGGUCUAUGGCACCAGAUUGCGGAUCUGGGGAUCCGGGGUUCAAAUCCCUGCGGGCCCGCCA